UUGUGGUGAGGGGCAGGGACCAGGCGCGCUGGCCUGCCAGCCCACCUCUGGGAGGUACAGGGCACUACACAGUAGCCUCCCCGAAGUGGUCACGUGAGAAUGACUUCCACUCAAGGCAUCCUCCACGGAAAACACUUCUCCCUGUCACUGAAGAGAAAAAAAAAAAAAAAAAAAAAAAAGCAAGCGGCUGUUGUGAGUGCCGGGGGGUGGGGAGGAGCUGGUAAUAACUCUUGCAGUCAUCCACACCCUCGCCAGUUGGUGGUUACCAAGAUCCCAGACACUUCCUAAUGCCAGACAAAUGCCCCAAGCCUCGGCAUGUCUGGCUUGGAGAUCUAUUCAACUGAUAGCCCCCGCCUUUCCUAGGGAGAGCCCCACUACCCGGCUAAUCAAACAAAACAUUGUUCUCAGAAGGCAGAACGAAAGGCUUGUCUCUGGGCCACGACGGCGACGACGACGUUUGGGGUUUAUUUAAUAUCUAUAUGCCCCCAACUAAAAGGUUGCUACAAAACUUGGGCUUCCUGAGACGAGGUUGUUUUGCACAGAGCGUGCACUGUAUAAAAAUUCCAGGAGGGGAGGAAUCAGAAAGUUAGGAACCAUUAAAAAAAAAAAAAAAAAAAGCCCCAGGCACUUGAUGCCUGGAAAUGAUGUAAGACGCAGCCACUCCUCUGUUAGACCUACAACCCAACCAAACGGCGCUCACAUCCACCGCAGCCGGCUCUCCAAAUGUCAGCACCAGCGCUGGGCAAAGCUUGAAACCCACCAGGCUUCAGGAGGGUUUGCCAUCCACAUUUUCCCCCGCGCACUCUCAGGAACCUGGCAACAGGUAACGUGGCAACCUUUGACUUCUAAAACGGCGAGUGGGAUAAUUUCAGGGAGCACAUGGAUUGUUUCCCAGCCAGCUGCAUCUCUCCUACCGCCCCCGCACCCGACUUCCUCCCUCCCCAAUCCAAAGUCUGGGAAAACAAACUCAGGGCUGCGGGCUACCCUGCUCUUGGGCGUACCCUGGUGGCCGAGACCGGAACAACAUGCACGUGCUCGGAGCUCCGCGGCAAUUCCUGCUGGUAAGUGGCGUUGUGGAAGCGGGCUGUUGGCCCUGCGGACUUGUUUCCGGUAAAGAGCUGGAAUCCAUCCAGAAUAUCUUCAUUUUUUUUUGUUGUUGUUGUUGUUUGUUUUCGAGACUGGGUUUCUCUGUGUGGCCUUGGCUGUCCUGGCACUCACUCUGUAGCCCAGGCUGCCCUAGAACUCAGCCUCUGGCUCCUGAGUGCUGGGAUUAAAGGGGUGCACCUCCACGCCCAGCUCCAGAACGUCUUUAUUUUUUAUCUAAGCACAUUAACAAUUUUCCCACCUGUAUGCUGAGUAGACCCUCUGGACUAGGACCUAGAAUCAAUGAGGGUAAACACUGGGCAUUCUGCGAGAUGCAUGGCAGGUCGCACAGGGCUGUGAUUCCUUCCUCCUGAGGCUGAUGGGGGAGGAUCAGGGUUCAAGACCAGCCUGGGCUCCCUAGUCAGACUCGGUCUUGAAAACGCAUCAACAAAAAUGGGAUUCCUGCUGUGACGACUCCCAUCCCCCCCUCCCUGUUUGUCUUCAAGUGUAUUCUGCAUGCAGACACCUUUUGGGCCUGCAGCGUUCCUAAUCAGCCCUGUUGGGUUCCUAUCUGCAAGGAUUACUGAAGAUUUCCACACUGCCAGACCAGCUUCCCAGACAGCAGCCUCCAAGCUCCAGCUACACCCAGGAAAAUGCCAGCGGCAGUGUUUUUAGGCCGUCUGAUCCGCGCAGACACUGCCCCACCCCUUCUGCUGGGCAGGAAUGGAGACCCACCGUUGUGGGCUGCUGUUAGCCCCAGGACCUGGUACUCCUUGGUUCUGCAUCUGGAAAUGGUACCCGGAAACUGAGAGGUUCAGAUCAAAGUAAUUGUUCUUUUUCAGAAACUUCCAUUAAUUAACUAAAUUAGAGGACACUGAAUGAUGCUGGGGGUGGAGGUGUUUCUGUAGAAGGCUCAGGUCCAGGGGUUAUGGUCUGAGCCCUGUAAUACAGACUUUUAAUGAAGUUUGACAGUCAAUUAAAUAAUACUAGAAGCUGAAAAGUUACCAUAUGUGAAAGCAGCCCAUGCCUGUAAACCAUAGACAUUGGAAUAGCAUUUGCCCAGACCAUUUAAGGUCAAAGAUUAAAGCUUGGGAGUCUGAGUAGGCAUGGGUUGGCCCCUGGCUAAUGUGAAUGGCAGCCUGUUGAGAGGCCAGGGCACCUGUGUUGAAAUCUGGAUAUUUCAAUCUUCAGGCUUACUAAUUUCCAAGGCGGGAGUGUUGUUCUCAGUUGGGAAUUUGAUCUGGACUUCACACUUGAUUUUCCCAGCUUUGCUAACAGGUGCUGUUGAGUCAUCUGGGCACACAGAUGACUGCCCUGGACGUUUCAUCACUGCGAAGAUUUCAUUUCCAUUUGCCCCAUGACUUUGUGGAGUGAUUUCUACCAUUGACCCAGAUCACUUCCUCUUAGACUUAGGGGAUUGUUUUUUUUUUUUUUUUCCUUCUUCAGCAUUUGUAAUCAUGUGUGUGUGUUUUUCAAAAUAACGUCCCAGCCUGGCUCACAGGUCUUCCUGAGUUGAAUGGACUGUUUACAGAAAGGGAAGAUUCAGGGCCCAAGGUCAGGGUUACAGAAUUAUAUAAGGUUUCCUGUUUGGGCAGCUGGUCUACCAACCCUUCAGUUAGGCCGGACUGAGUUUUGAUGAAAGACAGCAUGCCAGCUGGGUGUGGUGGCAUACACCUGUAACUUAGCACGCGGGAAUAUCAGAAGUCCAAAGUCAGGCCACCCAAAGCUGUGUAUAAAAACUCAGAACUACUAGGAGACUAGUGUGGAAAUGAUGCCAGGAGCAAGAAAAGUGAUGUCUUUGACAUUCUCAUCAGCCAACCAGCUUUCAUUUGUCUUCAGAUGCCGAUUCUCGGCCAUUUGGCUGGCUCUAUAUUCUAUUCACUUUUUCUUUUUUCCUGGCCAGAUUGAGAGAAGGACAUUCACUAAGGAGGUAGGAAGCACACAGCCAGGUAUUCUUAUCUGUCUCACCCACGGAUGACACCGCAGUUCUUAGAACAGGUUGGCAUAUAUGGUUAGGGUUUUAUCAUGGCAUUUCCCCAAGAACCCUUUCUCUACCUCAUCUCAAGAGACUGAGCUUAGAUUCACGAAUACUACAACUAACCCGAAUGGAACUCACAAACAACUACCUGCUUGGUUCUGGUACACAGACUGCAGCUGACUUGGCUCACCCGAGGCCAUAGAUGUGGAGAGGAUUCCCGUAUUGGAGGAGAGUAUCAAGCUCACGGUAUUUGUUUGUGUCCCUUCAGGAAGUGAGGAGCCUGUUUACAAAUCCGAAUACAUUUACAUCUAUGGGAGCCCAGGCCUGGUAAUUCCUAAGUGACUCGGGUGAGGCUUUAUUGGGAGCCCUUCACAGCCCCUUAGCCUAGGCACUGAGAGCAGCCUGGAGAAUGUAUUGGGAAGCCUUGUACCUUGGAAAACAGGAUUUGUGCUUAAGUGAAGAAAGGAAACCCAUUUCCCCUUCUUACUGGUUUCUGGAAGGCGGGGUCUGUGGGAGGUGCCAGCAGCCCCAGGCGAUGCAGAUAAGCUUUUAAUUAACCAUCUACUUUCUUCCUUCCUCCUAGAAACCCUCCUUUUUUCAAAGGGAAAAUUAUUCUGUUAAUCUGUAUUGGACUCUGUGGUCCAGAAAGGAUGUCUGUUCCUCACCCAUACUCAGAUAGCAUGAUCGGCCCUGAGAAUGACAGAUUCUCUCUGCCUGUGUCAUUGGCAGCUGAGGACACAAAUCUAAGAAAAUUGCCCAGGUGACCCUCAGGGCUCUUUCCCACUGUAGGACUAUUUAACGUGUCCCUCAAAGGCUUCGCUGGUCACCCUCGGGUAUAGCUCGGUGGCCGAGCACACGCCUAGCAUGUACAGGGAUCUAUUUCUAGCAUGGGAAAAAAAGGACAGGAGGAACUAUUGCGUGCUUGGCAUUUGCCAGAUUUCAGUUAAAACCCUUUUGAAGUUAAGAUUAAAACUGGUAUCAAGUUACUCCCACCUCUCGCCUGCUCAUUGACGGAGUGUUAAUGAACCUAAGGCUGUAGCUGGUCUCAUUAAAUCCCCAAAACAACCCUGCAGAGGAGGGGAUGGCCUGCAGAUAAAAAUGAGGCCAAGAAAGAGGUUGUUUUGCUCUAAUUCUCCCAGGACAGAGCUGGCUGGGAAGUUGUUCAUCUCCUCACAGACACCUACUUAGUUUUCAAAGACAUGCUGCUGUAUCUGCUGGUUAUGGUGGGUGAACACUUGUAAUCCCCGAACUGGAGAGGUAGAGGCAGAAGGAUCGGGUUCAAGGCUAGCUUCAGCUACACUGCGAUUUCAAGGCCGGCCUGGGCUACAUGAGACACUGUCUCAAAACAAUAAUGGCAAAAAGAUUCUGCCUUUGGAUUUUGGCAAGGGCAGCGCUACCAGAAGCUCAUGUUGGAAACUCAGCCAACAAUCCCUGGAAUGCAUGGAUCGCAGACAGCUGAUAUGUAGUGAUCCAAUACUUGAUCGAGGCUCUGAAACUCUUGGUGUAGUCAUACUGUUGGCAGUUUCGGAGGCGUCAGGGAAUAGCCUGCAGGGGUACUCACUUUCUGUACUGGACCACCCCUAGAAAGUAGUUUGUGUAAAGUUUAAUAUUUCAGUUUUAUUUUGUUUAUUUAUUUUGAGACAGUGUUUCCCUGUGUAGUUUGUAGCCCUGGCUGUCCUAGAACUCUGAAGACCAGGUUAGUCUUGAAAGAGAGCUUCCUUGCUGGGCGGUGAUAUCCCACGCAUUUAGUCCCAGCACUCAGGAGGCAGAGGCAGGUGAUCUCUGUGAGUUUGAGGCCAGCCUGGUCUACAGAGCGAGUUCCAGGACAGCCAGGGCUAUAUAGAGAAACCCUU
Molecule: non-coding RNA, 4914 nt
Organism: Peromyscus maniculatus bairdii (prairie deer mouse)
Lineage: Eukaryota; Metazoa; Chordata; Mammalia; Rodentia; Cricetidae
Source: RefSeq, a predicted model, not a curated record